GACGAACGCUGGCGGCGUGCUUAACACAUGCAAGUCGAACGGAAAGGCCUCUUUCGGGGGGUACUCGAGUGGCGAACGGGUGAGUAACACGUGAGUAACCUGCCCUUGACUUUGGGAUAACUUCAGGAAACUGGGGCUAAUACCGGAUAGGAGCUCCUGCUGCAUGGUGGGGGUUGGAAAGUUUCGGCGGUUGGGGAUGGACUCGCGGCUUAUCAGCUUGUUGGUGGGGUAGUGGCUUACCAAGGCUUUGACGGGUAGCCGGCCUGAGAGGGUGACCGGCGACAUUGGGACUGAGGUACGGCCCAGACUCCUACGGGAGGCAGCAGUGGGGAAUAUUGCACAAUGGGUGGAAGCCUGAUGCAGCAACGCCGUGUGCGGGAUGACGGCCUUCGGGUUGUAAACCGCUUUCGCUCAUGACGAAGCUUUGUGUGACGGUAGUGGGUAAAGAAGCACCGGCUAACUACGUG
RNAcentral lists this ribosomal RNA (467 nucleotides) under uncultured bacterium. RNAcentral describes it as "partial 16S ribosomal RNA". It matches the Rfam family "Bacterial small subunit ribosomal RNA", at positions 28 to 507 of the family's 1533-position model. The record is from RNAcentral.